CUCAAAGGAACCAAGCUCACGAGGGGCCCCUCAGCUUCCUGACGGAGAAAGAUAUGGGGGAAGAGGAGAUGGAGGGCCCUUCUAAUUAUAAUGAGUGAAGAUUUUGUCAAUCCAGAAGGGCACCAUCAGAAGAGGCUGAGUGAUGAGCUGUAUGGACUUUACAUAACCUCUCAAUUGGUCCCCUGCUUAUCUACUCAAGAAGUGUGCCAACAAAAAGAUGUUUCUUCUGCAUCUCUGAUCCUUCGUUGUUUCACCUGCAAAAUAGUGUUUGGCUGCUGGAAGCAUCCACAAAAGGCAAGCCAAUCAGCUCCCUGCUCUCUUGAAACUUGUGUUCCAGCAGAGCAAGACCCACACUACCAGAAGAGCCCAAUGUAUGAAGAGGACAACCUUAAGAAGUAAGAGUCCUAUUUCCUGGUGAAGCGGAUGGGGGAGAGGUGAUCUGGGUGACAGAAGAAGCAACUCGAGUUAGAGGAGAGAAAAAAGUCACACGUGUAAAUACUGAAUAGUUUCCCUGGUGUGAAUAAUCUGCAAUAAAACAUAAGAUCCUAAUAAGAUUACUGUCAUUUAGAAAUGAGAAGAAAGGAGCUAAAGGUGUAGGGAAGGUGGGAUGGGUAGGGGAAGGGUAAUA
This 628-nucleotide long non-coding RNA is filed under the name Fukomys damarensis (Damara mole-rat). Its description in RNAcentral is "lncRNA (ENSFDAG00000024101.1)". The record is from RNAcentral. Lineage: Eukaryota; Metazoa; Chordata; Mammalia; Rodentia; Bathyergidae.